This 292-nucleotide ribosomal RNA is filed under the name uncultured bacterium. RNAcentral describes it as "partial 16S ribosomal RNA". It matches the Rfam family "Bacterial small subunit ribosomal RNA", at positions 505 to 796 of the family's 1533-position model. The record is from RNAcentral.
GUGUCAGCAGCCGCGGUAAUACGUAGGGUGCGAGCGUUGUCCGGAAUUAUUGGGCGUAAAGGGCUCGUAGGCGGUUUGUCGCGUCGGGAGUGAAAACACACAGCUUAACUGUGUGCUUGCUUUUGAUACGGGCAGACUGGAGGUAUGCAGGGGAGAACGGAAUUCCUGGUGUAGCGGUGAAAUGCGCAGAUAUCAGGAGGAACACCGGUGGCGAAGGCGGUUCUCUGGGCAUUACCUGACGCUGAGGAGCGAAAGUGUGGGGAGCGAACAGGAUUAGAAACCCUGGUAGUCC